AGCUUGGUAGCUCGUCGGGCCCAGCGCUUGUCAGCUCUUGUAAGACCAGGCGAAGGUCGUUGGUUCACAUCCAGCCCUCGCUACCA
Molecule: transfer RNA, 86 nt
Filed under: Neptuniibacter sp. 2_MG-2023
Lineage: Bacteria; Pseudomonadati; Pseudomonadota; Gammaproteobacteria; Oceanospirillales; Oceanospirillaceae
Description: tRNA-OTHER
Source: RNAcentral